This 72-nucleotide transfer RNA is filed under the name Fukomys damarensis (Damara mole-rat). It matches the Rfam family "tRNA". From Rfam's summary of the family: Transfer RNA (tRNA) molecules are approximately 80 nucleotides in length. Their secondary structure includes four short double-helical elements and three loops (D, anti-codon, and T loops). Lineage: Eukaryota; Metazoa; Chordata; Mammalia; Rodentia; Bathyergidae. The record is from Rfam by way of RNAcentral.
GGGGAUGUAGCUCAGUGGCACAGCACCUGCCUGGCAAGUGCGAGAACCCAAGUUCAAUUCCUGGUAUACACA